Molecule: ribosomal RNA, 274 nt
Filed under: uncultured bacterium
Lineage: Bacteria
Description: partial 16S ribosomal RNA
Rfam family: Bacterial small subunit ribosomal RNA
Source: RNAcentral
AUACAGAGGGUGCGAGCGUUAAUCGGAAUUACUGGGCGUAAAGCGCGCGUAGGCGGCUGAUUAAGUCAGAUGUGAAAUCCCAGGGCUCAACCUUGGAACUGCAUCUGAUACUGGUCAGCUAGAGAUUAGGAGAGGGAAGUAGAAUUUCAGGUGUAGCGGUGAAAUGCAUAGAUAUCUGAAGUAAUACCAGUGGCGAAGGCGGCUUCCUGGCCUAAAACUGACGCUGAGGUGCGAAAGCGUGGGUAGCAAACGGGAUUAGAAACCCCUGUAGUCC